AUUGGUAUGAGAAGCUUCCGGGAACUUCCUGUGCAGGGUGCAAGCCCUUAACACCGGGAUCUUCUGGCAAAUUUUGGAGGGAGGGUCUUCGGACCCUCUUUUUUUUUAUUUUUUU
RNAcentral lists this unclassified non-coding RNA (115 nucleotides) under Trypanosoma theileri. Its description in RNAcentral is "partial trans-spliced leader sequence SL". Lineage: Eukaryota; Euglenozoa; Kinetoplastea; Trypanosomatida; Trypanosomatidae. The record is from RNAcentral.